Molecule: transfer RNA, 74 nt
Filed under: Enterococcus pseudoavium
Lineage: Bacteria; Bacillati; Bacillota; Bacilli; Lactobacillales; Enterococcaceae
Description: tRNA-Arg
Rfam family: tRNA
About the family: Transfer RNA (tRNA) molecules are approximately 80 nucleotides in length.
Source: RNAcentral
GUUCCCGUAGCUCAGCAGGAUAGAGCGAUUGCCUCCUAAGCGAUAGGCCGCUGGUUCGACUCCAGUCGGGAACA